Molecule: RNA transcript, 1261 nt
Organism: Trifolium pratense (red clover)
Lineage: Eukaryota; Viridiplantae; Streptophyta; Magnoliopsida; Fabales; Fabaceae
Exons: 4
Source: RefSeq, a predicted model, not a curated record
CUUGGAAUUUUGUGACGGUGUAUACGACGGUUUAAUCAACCGUUGCAGAUUUUGGAUCUAAAACUGUGGAACCAUAUUCAGCCCCAUACAAUUCUACUCUCAGUCAUACUCAAAUCCUUUUUCACUAUUUUUUUUGUUCAAACCCUUCUUCACUUUUUGUUCAAAAAAAACCCUAAAAUCCCUAAAUCAUUCCCCUGCGACAAAUCCACUCUCCAAAUCAUCUUCCCCUUCAUCGUUCCAAUCCCCCAAUCUCUAAAUCCCCUUCAUGUUCCAAUCAACGAAGCUUCAUCGUUUUUUCGCUGGAAAGCUUCAUCGUUCUGUUUUUGUUCUCUCCCUCCCCCGCUCUCUCUCGUUAUGUCUCCGACAACGACGGCAGCUUCUGCCACCCUUCAGGCAGCAUCCGCCAGCACACCAUCCGUAGUUUACACGUUCAGGUAUCCAUCUCUUUAUUGCUAAACAUUCACCAGAAUCAGCAACAAUUACAUUGUCUCGCCUAUUUGAUUCAAAUGUUGUCAUUGCAUUCCUUCCAAUUUUAGAAAGUUCCCGAGGAAACUUUCCGGAGAGGUUAUUGUUAGCGAGGUUUAGCCAUAACAAACUAGUACAGUUCCCUAACUCUGGAGGAAUUGGUCCGGUUAAUGAAUUGUCUGCAAGCAUCAACCACAAGAGUGAACUCAAGUUUCCGAGGCUUGGAUGUAUUGAUCCAGUCAACUUGUUGAAAGAAAGGUACAAAUUUAUGGCACUGAUGUCAUACUACCUUUCUCAGUUACCAUAUCAGGAUUCCCUCCAAAUACUCGAGGCUGAUAUACAACAAGCUGCUGCAAUUACAAGAGCCAGAGGAGGGACUCUUAUUAAAAUGAAAUUGGUUUGCAAUCAAUUGGUUCCUCUUUUUUUUUUUUAUUAUUUCUGCAUUGGAUGGAUUGUUCUUGUGCUAGCUUUUUGCGUAAUUAUCUCAACCUCUUCCAUAUAUUUAUAUACAAGGUAUCUGAGUUAGAAGAGUCAAGAGAUGGCAGGUGUUGGGAGUCUAGUUAGCACUAAUUAAGGAUCAUGAAGCAACCUCACGUACUGGGAAUAUUGAGAUAUUUUGUGAACUUCUUAUUUUGACUUAAUGUUUUAUCACUCUACUAAUGGUUAGGUUUUAGUUUUUUGAAUGAUUGAACUACAUUAGUUUUUUCUUUUUUCUUUUGGAGUUUCAUGUAUUUUAAUUAAAUUUUUUAUGUAUGAAUGUUGUCAGUAUUAAAUGAAUUAUAUAAAUGAGAUUAAG